GACGAACCGUGCGAACGUUGUUCGGAAUCACUGGGCUUAAAGGGCGCGUAGGCGGGCGAUCGAGUCGGAGGUGAAAUCCUACAGCUCAACUGUAGAACUGCCUUCGAUACUGGUUGUCUCGAGGGAGGUAGGGGCAUGUGGAACUUCCGGUGGAGCGGUGAAAUGCGUAGAGAUCGGAAGGAACGCCGGUGGCGAAAGCGACGUGCUGGACCUCUUCUGACGCUGAGGCGCGAAAGCUAGGGUAGCGAACGGG
RNAcentral lists this unclassified non-coding RNA (253 nucleotides) under uncultured Planctomycetia bacterium. RNAcentral describes it as "contains 16S-23S intergenic spacer region". It matches the Rfam family "Bacterial small subunit ribosomal RNA", at positions 524 to 776 of the family's 1533-position model. Lineage: Bacteria; Pseudomonadati; Planctomycetota; Planctomycetia. The record is from RNAcentral.